RNAcentral lists this ribosomal RNA (468 nucleotides) under uncultured bacterium. RNAcentral's name for it is "partial 16S ribosomal RNA". It matches the Rfam family "Bacterial small subunit ribosomal RNA", at positions 28 to 507 of the family's 1533-position model. The record is from RNAcentral.
GACGAACGCUGGCGGCGUGCUUAACACAUGCAAGUCGAACGGAAAGGCCCGGCUCUUGUGGGUUUCUCGAUUGGCGAACGCGUGAGUAACACGUGAGUAACCUGCCCUUGACUUUGUGAUAACUUUAGGAAACUGGGGCUAAUACCGGAUAUGAGCUCCUGCUGCAUGGUGGGGGUUGGAAAGUGUCGGCUGUUGUGGAUGGACUCGCGGCUUAUCAGCUAGUUGGUGAGGUAGGUGCUUACCAAGGCUUUGACGGGUAGCCUGCCUGAGAGGGUGACCGGGCACAAUGGGACUGCGAUACGGACCAGACUCCUACGGGCCGCAGCAGUGGGGAGCCUUGCACAGUGGGCGGAAGCGUGAUGCAGAAACGUUGCGUGCGGGAUACCGGCCUUCGAGUUGUAAACCGCUUUCGAAUGUGACGAAGAGUGAGUGACGGUAAUGGGUAAAGAAGCACCGGCUAACUACGUG